Molecule: long non-coding RNA, 1971 nt
Organism: Melopsittacus undulatus (budgerigar)
Lineage: Eukaryota; Metazoa; Chordata; Aves; Psittaciformes; Psittaculidae
Source: Ensembl
AUGGCACAGAAGGUUCCAGAAGGGGGGGGGCUGUGUCCGGUGCCCCCCCCCCGGAGCAGUGGAAAAUCAAACAGGGCCCAUAGGAACAGGAAUGGGGGGGGCCAUAAAGCGCAGGGAAGCGUCAGGAUCCUGUUUGCUCUAGGGCGGGGGGGCCAUGGGGGGGCCGCAUCCAGACCCCCCCCCCAUCCGCUACCCGGGCUGAGCCAUCCGGUGACCUUUGGAAGCAGCUGUUUGCUGUUCCCGGUGGGAAUGGGGCAGGAAGCGCUUGGCUAUGGGGGGGGGCACCACAUCCUGAUCCCCCCCCCCCGGGUUUGGGGCCAUCGGUGCCGGGGGGGGAUGUGGGGCGGGGGGUGCCCCCCCCCCCCGGGUCACAACACAGGGAGCGGGGUCCGUGUGUCCUCAGCCUGGUUGUGCGGUGCCGGAUCCCAUGGGCUGUGCGCGGUCAUGGCAUCCAUGUGGGUGCUGCAUCCCACGGCCCUGUAUCCCUGUAUCCCUUUAUCCCUGUGCUAUGGUUGUGUCCUGUAUCCCUGUAUCCCUGUACUAUGCUUGUGUCCUGUAUCCCUGUAUCCCUGUAUCCCUGUGCUAUGGUUGUGUCCUGUAUCCCUGUAUCCCUGUGCUAUGGUUGUAUCCUGUAUCCCUGUAUCCCUGUAUCCCUGUGCUAUGGUUGUAUCCUGUAUCCCUGUAUCCCUGUGCUAUGGUUGUGUCCUGUAUCCCUGUACCCCUGUGCUAUGGUUGUCCUGUAUCCCUGUAUUCCUGUAUCCCUGUGCUAUGGUUGUGUCCUGUAUCCCUGUAUCCCUGUAUCCCUGUAUCCCUGUGCUAUGGUUGUGUCCUGUAUCCCUGUAUCCCUGUAUCCCUGUGCUAUGGUUGUGUCCUGUAUCCCUGUAUCCCUGUGCUAUGGUUGUGUCCUGUAUCCCUGUACCCCUGUGCUAUGGUUGUCCUGUAUCCCUGUAUCCCUGUGCUAUGGUUGUGUCCUGUAUCCCUGUAUCCCUGUAUCCCUGUGCUAUGGUUGUGUCCUGUAUCCCUGUAUCCCUUUAUCCCUGUGCUAUGGUUGUGUCCUGUAUCCUGUAUCCCUGUAUCCCUGUGCCACUGCUGUAUCCUGUAUCCCUGUGCUAUGGUUGUGUCCUGUAUCCUGUAUCCCUGUGCUAUGGUUGUGUCCUGUAUCCCUGUGCUAUGGUUGUGUCCUGUAUCCCUGUAUCCCUGUGCUAUGGUUGUGUCCUGUAUCCUGUAUCCCUGUAUCCCUGUGCUAUGGUUGUGUCCUGUAUCCCUGUAUCCCUGUAUCCCUGUAUCCCUGUGCUAUGGUUGUGUCCUGUAUCCUGUAUCCCUGUAUCCCUGUGCUAUGGUUGUGUCCUGUAUCCCUGUAUCCCUGUAUCCCUGUAUCCCUGUAUCCCUGUGCUAUGGUUGUGUCCUGUAUCCUGUAUCCCUGUAUCCCUGUGCCGUGCAUGCAUCCCAUACCCAUGCCCUGUGUCCCGUGGCUCUGUCCCAUCCCCACCCGUGUCCACGUCCCUGCUGUGCCCCAUCGGUGUCCAUGGCCCAUGUGCCCCAUGUGGUGCCCAUGGCCCCACUGUGCCCCAUUUGUGCCCCUAUCCCCUCUGUGCCCCAUCCGUGUCCAUGGCCCAUGUGCCCCAUGCGGUGCCCAUGGCCCCACUGUGCCCCAUCUGUGCCCCUAUCCCCUCUGUGCCCCAUCCAUGCCCUUGUCCCCGCUGUGCCCCAUACGGUGCCCAUGGCCCAUGUGCCCCAUCCAUGUCCAUGUCCCCACUGUUCCCCCAUGCCCAUGUCCCUGCUGUGCCCCAUCCAUGUCCCUGCUGUGCCCCAUCUGUGCCCAUGUCCCUGCUGUGCCCCAUAUGGUGUCCAUGCCCCCGCUGUGCCCCAUGCGGUGCCCAUGGCUCAUGUGCCCCAUCCAUGCCCCCUCUGUGUCCCUCUGUGCCCCCUCCCUGCCCUGCCCCCGCAGUGCCCCCGUGCUCUGCUCCUGCC